UGAGGAGUCACCUGAUCCGAGUAACAUGGCCGCUGCCCCUUGAGAACUGCAGGUCGAGGUCCGAGCAGGACGCCAGACCCGCUGGGCGGCUGAGGGCAGGUGUGCCGAGACGGGGACCAGGCCCCGGUUCCGAGGGGCGCGCGGCGGCGGAGCGAGACAGGAGGGCCCGGGGCGGCGUGGUCCAUGAGCCGGUGCCGGAGGCAGCGCGGAGCCGCAGACUCCCCUAGCCCCGACGCGGCCCGGGCUGCCGCGGGCUGAGGAGUCGCGGGGCUCCGGGGAGCGCCCCGAGCUGCCACUGUGAACCCUGAGAAGGACUUCGCGCCGCUCACGCCCAACAUCGUGCGCGCCCUCAACGAGAAACUCUCUGAAAGCGGAAGGUGGCAAGCGCUGGAGGUAGGCUGGACCAGGAAUUCGUGGCCCAGAACAACACCGUGCAGAUCAAGCAUGUGAUCCAGACCCUGUCUGAGGAGUUUGCCCUGUCUCGGCACCCCCACAGCCGGAAAGGGGGCCUCAUCAGCCUGGCCGCCUGCUCCAUCGCACUAGGCAAGGACAUCAUGAUGGAGAGCAACAAGUUCGACCUGGUGGGCUUCAUCCCCUUGUUGCGGGAGAGGAUUUACUCCAACAACCAGUAUGCCCGGCAGUUCAUCAUCUCCUGGAUCCUGGUUCUGGAGUCGGUGCCAGACAUUAACCUGCUGGAUUAUUUGCCGGAGAUCCUGGAUGGACUGUUCCAGAUCCUGGGCGACAAUGGCAAAGAGAUUCGGAAAAUGUGUGAGGUGGUCCCUGGAGAAUUUUUGAAGGAAAUUAAGAAGAACCCUUCCGGCGUUAAGUUUGCUGAGAUGGCCAACAUCCUGGUGAUCCACUGCCAGACCGCGGGUGCCAAAGCAAUUCAAUGGGGGAUAUUGGUCUUUUCAACAAAUAGUGCUGAAACAACUGGGUAUCCGCAUACAGAAGAAUGAAGUUGGACCCCUUCCUGACACCAUGCACACACAAAGAAAAUCUCCAAAUAGAUCACAGGCCUAAAUGGGACACUGGUUCUAUCCCCAGGCCAGGAAGAUCCCACAUGCCACGGAGCAACUAAGCCCGAGAGCCACAAUGACCAAGCCCAAGUGUCACAACUGCUGAAGCCCACGCACCUAGAGUCCAUGCUCCACAAGAGAAGCCACUGCACUAAGAAGCCUGCACACCACAAUGAAGAGCGGCCCCCACUCUCCACAACUAGAGAAAGUCCGCCUGCAGCAACAGAGACCCAACACAGCCAAUAAAUAAAUAAAUUUAUAAAAGAAAAAAAAAAUUUUUAAGUAGUUUUAAGUAGACUGUCCUUGGAAGGCAGCAGAGAAUUUCAAAUCAACAGCUUGUAAAACUUGGAUCACAUAGACUAGUAGUUGCCGAGGGCUGGGGUGUCGGAGGAGAAGAGUGACUGCUAAUGAACGUGGGGCUUCCUUUUGGGAAAGUAAAAAAUGUUCUAAAAUUGAUUGUAGUGAUAGUUGCACAACUCUGAAUAACAAAAUAAUCAUUGCACUGUACAUUUUAAAUGAGUGAAUUUAUGGUAUUGAAUUAUAUCUCAAUAAAGUUGUUAAAAGAAAAGUGGGUCACAAAGAGAAGGCAAUGAGAGGAGGAUCUGAUUAAAUACUUAGGUAAAGUGGGGCAGGGGAGGGCAUCCAUGCAAUUUAUGAUCUUAAUGAGGAUCCUUCCUUCAUAUCUACUACUUUGCUCCUUGUUCUUUAGCUUUUCUCUCCUUGGAUAUGUCACAACUUCCCACCUCUUUCUUGUUUUUUAGUUUACUAAUCAAUUAAUAUACACAUACAACACAUACAACAAAUUUAUUCCGUAAAUUAUAAUAUAGAAUGUGAUUCCAAUGUUAACUCCCACUGCUCUUUACUAAGGAGGAAGUAUGGAUGAAGGGAACAUUCCCAUCCUGAUCCUGUUUUAGAUGCUCAUGUUUUGUCACCCUUAUUCUGUAUUGUGUGCUGGUUCUCUGUCCUAAAUCAUCCCAUAUGCCGCAAGAGCCUAUGUAGAUUCGUGCCUCCUUGCAUCAAGAUUCUCAUUUAAAUUCAAAGAAUUUUUGUUCUGUUUUAUAGCUAUAACUAUUACAAUGCCCAAUAGUGACUCCCCUCAUCUGUACAGUGUUAUUGAAUGAGCUCUCUGCACUUCUUCUCACCUGCAUCCUCUUUCUCUAGAGCAUUGAUAUCCCCUUUAUCCAAAUACCACAGCAGAGGAAAAAUUGCUUGU
Hippopotamus amphibius kiboko is the source of this 2229-nucleotide RNA transcript. It is a transcript of the gene named protein VAC14 homolog, with no coding region annotated. NCBI's taxonomy places the organism in Eukaryota, Metazoa, Chordata, Mammalia, Artiodactyla, Hippopotamidae. The transcript has 7 exons. The record is from RefSeq and is a predicted model, not a curated record.